RNAcentral lists this ribosomal RNA (374 nucleotides) under uncultured organism. Its description in RNAcentral is "partial 16S ribosomal RNA". It matches the Rfam family "Bacterial small subunit ribosomal RNA", at positions 527 to 896 of the family's 1533-position model. The record is from RNAcentral.
GAACCGUACAAACGUUAUUCGGAAUCACUGGGCUUAAAGGGUGCGUAGGCGGCUUGGCAAGUUGGGGUGUGAAAUCCCUCGGGCUCAACCGAGGAACUGCGCCCAAAACUGCUUGGCUUGAGGGAGAUAGAGGUGAGCGGAACUUAGGGUGGAGCGGUGAAAUGCGUUGAUAUCCUAAGGAACACCGGUGGCGAAGGCGGCUCACUGGAUCUCUUCUGACGCUGAGGCACGAAAGCUAGGGUAGCGAACGGGAUUAGAUACCCCGGUAGUCCUAGCUGUAAACGAUGAGCACUGGGUUGGAGGCCCCCCCAUAGGCUUCCGGCCGAAGCGAAAGUGUUAAGUGCUCCGCCUGGGGAGUAUGGUCGCAAAGGCUG